Molecule: ribosomal RNA, 448 nt
Filed under: uncultured Streptococcus sp.
Lineage: Bacteria; Bacillati; Bacillota; Bacilli; Lactobacillales; Streptococcaceae
Description: bacterial SSU rRNA
Rfam family: Bacterial small subunit ribosomal RNA
Source: RNAcentral
UGGAGUAUGUUGGUUUAAUUCGUACGCGAACGCGCAGAACCUUACCAGGUCUUGACAUCCCGAUGCUAUUCUAGAGAUAGAAAGUUACUUCGGUACAUCGGUGACAGGUGGUGCAUGGUUGUCGUCAGCUCGUGUCGUGAGAUGUUGGUUAGGUCCCGCAACGAGCGCAACCCCUAUUGUUAGUUGCCAUCAUUCAGUUGGGCACUCUAGCGAGACUGCCGGUAAUAAACCGGAGGAAGGUGGGAUGACGUCAAAUCAUCAUGCCCCUUAUGACCUGGGCUACACACGUGCUACAAUGGUUGGUACAACGAGUUGCGAGUCGGUGACGGCGAGCUAAUCUCUUAAAGCCAAUCUCAGUUCGGAUUGUAGGCUGCAACUCGCCUACAUGAAGUCGGAAUCGCUAGUAAUCGCGGAUCAGCAUGCCGCGGUGAAUACGUUCCCGGGCCUU